RNAcentral lists this ribosomal RNA (468 nucleotides) under uncultured bacterium. RNAcentral's name for it is "partial 16S ribosomal RNA". It matches the Rfam family "Bacterial small subunit ribosomal RNA", at positions 28 to 507 of the family's 1533-position model. The record is from RNAcentral.
GACGAACGCUGGCGGCGUGCUUAACACAUGCAAGUCGAACGGAAAGGCCCUGCUUUUGUGGGGUGCUCGAGUGGCGAACGGGUGAGUAACACGUGAGUAACCUGCCCUUGACUUUGGGAUAACUUCAGGAAACUGGGGCUAAUACCGGAUAGGAGCUCCUGCUGCAUGGUGGGGGUUGGAAAGUUUCGGCGGUUGGGGAUGGACUCGCGGCUUAUCAGCUUGUUGGUGGGGUAGUGGCUUACCAAGGCUUUGACGGGUAGCCGGCCUGAGAGGGUGACCGGCCACAAUGGGACUGAGAGACGGCCCAGACUCCUACGGGAGGCAGCGGUGGGGAAUAUUGCACAAUGGGCGGAAGCCUGAUGCAGCAACGCCGCGUGCGGGAUGACGGCCUUCGGGUUGUAAACCGCUUUCGCCUGUGACGAAGCGUGAGUGACGGUAAUGGGUAAAGAAGCACCGGCUAACUACGUG